GGCGGAGUGGUGUAGUUGUUAGCAUACCGAACCCGAUAUUGGGAUACCCGGAGUUCAAAACCGGGCUCCGCCA
This 73-nucleotide transfer RNA is filed under the name Ixodes scapularis (black-legged tick). Its description in RNAcentral is "tRNA-Ser". The record is from RNAcentral. Lineage: Eukaryota; Metazoa; Arthropoda; Arachnida; Ixodida; Ixodidae.